UAGGGAAUCUUCCGCAAUGGACGCAAGUCUGACGGAGCAACGCCGCGUGAGUGAAGAAGGAUUUCGGUUCGUAAAACUCUGUUGUUAGAGAAGAACAGCGCAUAGAGUAACUGUUAUGCGUGUGACGGUAUCUAACCAGAAAGCCACGGCUAACUACGUGCCAGCAGCCGCGGUAAUACGUAGGUGGCAAGCGUUGUCCGGAUUUAUUGGGCGUAAAGCGAGCGCAGGCGGUCAAUUAAGUCUGAUGUGAAAGCCCCCGGCUCAACCGGGGAGGGUCAUUGGAAACUGGUUGACUUGAGUGCAGAAGGGGGGAGUGGAAUUCCAUGUGUAGCGGUGAAAUGCGUAGAUAUAUGGAGGAACACCAGUGGCGAAGGCGACUCUCUGGUCUGUAACUGACGCUGAGGCUCGAAAGCGUGGGUAGCAAACAGG
RNAcentral lists this ribosomal RNA (429 nucleotides) under Bacteroidota bacterium. RNAcentral describes it as "Bacteroidetes bacterium partial 16S ribosomal RNA". It matches the Rfam family "Bacterial small subunit ribosomal RNA", at positions 355 to 776 of the family's 1533-position model. The record is from RNAcentral. Lineage: Bacteria; Pseudomonadati; Bacteroidota.